Long non-coding RNA from Panthera uncia (snow leopard), 2014 nucleotides. RefSeq lists it as uncharacterized. The transcript is spliced from 2 exons. NCBI's taxonomy places the organism in Eukaryota, Metazoa, Chordata, Mammalia, Carnivora, Felidae. The record is from RefSeq and is a predicted model, not a curated record.
GGGAAGACCAAGGCUGAGAGCCGCAGGCCUGAGCCCCCACCUUCCCAGGAGGGGUCCUGCAGCUGCAGAACCUCUCAUCAGCUUUGGAGCCUCUUCCCAGCAUGGACACAUGCACUCGGAGGCCAGCGGGGACAGGGGCGGACACUCUCUGGGCAGACACAGUGGCAGCAGCCUCCGCACUGAGUCCUAUGAACGGCUGCAGUCAAGCCAUCCCCUCAGAAGACAUCCCUGCCUCCUCCAGGCCCCUCUGAGCCCCCUCCUGCAUCCCCGGCCCCUGCAAAGUCUGGUUCUGGGUUUGCUCACCCAUGCUGGGGUGACACUGAAUGCCUCCCUUCUCAUGGUAAGACUCCAUGGAAGCAGGGCCCCCGCAGCCCCAGGUUCAUGUGCCCACCAUGUUGCCCAGGGAAGGAAAACCAGAUCUGGGGACAGAUAACAGGGAAGCCAGGGCACCAGGGCCCCUCUCGUCCUCUUGCCAAACUCCAUCCUCAGGAAGAAGAAAGGGCUAGAGCUUAAAACGGUGUGAGCAUGUGAUCAUCCAUCCAACUGAGCACUUAAGACUUGUGCCCUUACCCUAAACUACUGCUCAACAGAAACUAGGUGCAAGCAGAGGCCAGCAGCCUGCACACCGGGCAGGGAAGACAGGGGCAGCAUCCAGGGCUCUGUGACCGUCCUCUGCCAAUCCCCCCAGGGACACACAAAGCUGGCGGGUGGGUAGGGGCAGCCUCCCCCAGCACCGGCCUCGUGUGUCUCCUGAAUCACAGCUGAUAACCUGGGAGGUGGGUGCAACAACCCCAAGCUCUGUGGGCCAUACUACACCUGUCGAGUGGGUAACUGCUUGGGGCAGGGGGAGAGUGAGUUCUAGAAGGCAGUGGAGGGCACCAAACUGCUGACCCAGGAGUGUAAUGGGGAAGAGGAUGUUGGGCCCCCGAGUCCUCCCUCCCCCGGCCUCCCCCCUACCCAUCACCACCUUCUGCUUCUUCCUCCUUCCUCUCCCAAGAGCAGCCCCAGGCCUCUUUCCAUGUAGAAUGACACCAGACGAACCUAAAACAGUCUCUGGGGGCUCUUGCCCCUGCGCUGACAGGGGGUUGGUGGGGGUGGGAUGAACCUGCAAACCAUCCAUUCAGAAACUUCUAAAAUUGGCUUGGGAGGGGGCACAUUUGGCCUCGAGCUUGAAUAUCUGAGUGUCUGACACUCUGGGAAUAACCCCAACUCAGGAAGGUCAGACGCUUCUUCAAACACAUGCACACACACCCCUGUAACCACCUUGACCGCUCCACUCCCCCCACCCCACCGCUGCCGCCCAGCUCAUCUGUCCGUCACACAGCAGCCUUCCCACAGGCAUUUCCAGAAGCUGGUAGAAUGUGUGUGUUUCAAAGGGCCACCUCAGGCCAGCCCAGAGCUCGUGGCACCUUGCCGUGGGUGAGGGCGAGCUAUAGACAUGGCCACGCCUGUUCUGACACAGCAGGUGAGUGUUACACGCGCCGCCCGUCCGCAGAGGUGAAGCCAAAUGUGUUGCCUCAACUUGCCUGCAUCUCGUGUGUUCUUUUUAAUUUCUUUCCGGUUUUCUGUGCCUCCCUGAGAGCCAGAGAGGUCUGGCCAUUUCCAUUUUCUGAGUCACUUAGUAUAUUACAAAAUGAAGAGAGUCCAAAAGAGGAUUAAAGAAAAUUAGACAUUUAGCAAUUCGAGGCUUUUGACAUGCAACACACGCACAUGUACAUGCGCACACACACACGCGGCAAGAAAUUGAACUGUUCCUCAGUUAUGAGGUUUAUAAAAAUAUUAACUCACAGUGUGGGCUGGUGGUGGGACCCAGGUGCAGAGCAAUGGGAAAGAUACCUUCUCUCCUUCCCAGCAGGGGAUGUCCCAUAAACUGUGACUUUAAGAACCAACUCACUUAGCUCAAGCCCUGCUUCAGGUGAACCCCACUUCUCUCCCUCUCCCUCUGUUUCUCUGCUCCUCACUCACUUGUGCACUCUCUUUCUCAAAAAAAAAAAAAGAAGAAGAAGAAGAAGAA